This 750-nucleotide ribosomal RNA is filed under the name uncultured archaeon. Its description in RNAcentral is "bacterial SSU rRNA". It matches the Rfam family "Archaeal small subunit ribosomal RNA", at positions 1 to 729 of the family's 1478-position model. The record is from RNAcentral.
UCGAUGCUCCGGUCGCAUGGCCGCGGGAUUUCCGGUUGAUCCUGCCGGACUGACUGCUAUCGGAUUGAUACUCAAGCCAUGCGAGUCAUUGUAGCAAUACAAUGCAUACGGCUCAGUAACGCGUAGUCAACCUAACCUAUGGACGGGAAUAACCUCGGGAAACUGAGAAUAAUGCCCGAUAGAACAUUAUGCCUGGAAUGGUUUAUGUUCCAAAUGAUUUAUCGCCGUAGGAUGGGACUGCGGCCUAUCAGUUUGUUGGUGAGGUAAUGGCCCACCAAGACUAUUACAGGUACGGGCUCUGAGAGGAGUAGCCCGGAGAUGGGUACUGAGACACGGACCCAGGCCCUAUGGGGCGCAGCAGGCGAGAAAACUUUGCAAUGUGCGAAAGCACGACAAGGUUAAUCCGAGUGGUUUCUGCUAAAGGAACCUUUUGUCAGUCCUAGAAACACUGAUGAAUAAGGGGUGGGCAAGUUCUGGUGUCAGCCGCCGCGGUAAAACCAGCACCUCAAGUGGUCAGGAUGAUUAUUGGGCCUAAAGCAUCCGUAGCCGGCUCUGUAAGUUUUCGGUUAAAUCUGUACGCUCAACGUACAGGCUGCCGGGAAUACUGCAAAGCUAGGGAGUGGGAGAGGUAGACGGUACUCGGUAGGAAGGGGUACAAUCCUUUGAUCUAUUGAUGACCACCUGUGGCGAAGGCGGUCUACCAGAACACGUCCGACGGUGAGGGAUGAAAGCUGGGGGAGCAAACCGGAU